Molecule: ribosomal RNA, 473 nt
Filed under: uncultured bacterium
Lineage: Bacteria
Description: partial 16S ribosomal RNA
Rfam family: Bacterial small subunit ribosomal RNA
Source: RNAcentral
GGCGCNGGCGGCGUGCCUAAGAAUGCANGUCGAACGAGANAGCACCUUCGGGNGUUAUUNCNNUGGCGCACGGGUGAGUAACGCGUGGAUAAUCUACCUCUAAGUCUGGGGAUAACUCCUGGAAACGGGUGCUAAUACCGGAUAAGCCCACGGUCCUUCGGGUCUGCGGGAAAAGAUGGCCUCUCCUUGGAAGCUAUCUCUUAGAGAUGAGUCUGCGUCCCAUUAGCUUGUUGGUGGGGUAACGGCCUACCAAGGUGACGAUGGGUAGCUGGUCUGACAGGAUGAUCANCCACACUGGAACUGAGACACGGUCCANACUCCUACGGGAGGCANCAGUCGGGAAUUUUGGGCAAUGGGCGAAAGCCUGACCCANCAACNCCCGUGAGUGAUGAANGCCUUANGGUCUAAACCCUGUCANAGGGGAAAACCAAUCCCGGUUAUACCCCGGUUUUUACNGUCCCUCANAAGAACUC